AACAGGAUUAGAUACCCUGGUAGUCCACGCCGUAAACGAUGUCGAUUUGGAGGUUGUGCCCUUGAGGCGUGGCUUCCGGAGCUAACGCGUUAAAUCGACCGCCUGGGGAGUACGGCCGCAAGGUUAAAACUCAAAUGAAUUGACGGGGGCCCGCACAAGCGGUGGAGCAUGUGGUUUAAUUCGAUGCAACGCGAAGAACCUUACCUGGUCUUGACAUCCACAGAACUUUCCAGAGAUGGAUUGGUGCCUUCGGGAACUGUGAGACAGGUGCUGCAUGGCUGUCGUCAGCUCGUGUUGUGAAAUGUUGGGUUAAGUCCCGCAACGAGCGCAACCCUUAUCCUUUGUUGCCAGCGGUUAGGCCGGGAACUCAAAGGAGACUGCCAGUGAUAAACUGGAGGAAGGUGGGGAUGACGUCAAGUCAUCAUGGCCCUUACGACCAGGGCUACACACGUGCUACAAUGGCGCAUACAAAGAGAAGCGACCUCGCGAGAGCAAGCGGACCUCAUAAAGUGCGUCGUAGUCCGGAUUGGAGUCUGCAACUCGACUCCAUGAAGUCGGAAUCGCUAGUAAUCGUAGAUCAGAAUGCUACGGUGAAUACGUUCCCGGGCCUUGUACACACCGCCCGUCACACCAUGGGAGUGGGUUGCAAAAGAAGUAGGUAGCUUAACCUUCGGGAGGGCGCUUACCACUUUGUGAUUCAUGACUGGGGUGAAGUCGUAACAAGGUAACC
This 730-nucleotide ribosomal RNA is filed under the name uncultured bacterium. RNAcentral's name for it is "bacterial SSU rRNA". It matches the Rfam family "Bacterial small subunit ribosomal RNA", at positions 771 to 1501 of the family's 1533-position model. The record is from RNAcentral.